GCAACACACAAAACUAACGUCCACAAGGUCUUAAUCCUGGCAGUCUCGAAAUACCAUUAAAACCUAUAUUUACCAAUAAACCAUAAUGAUCUUAAUCAAGUCAUAAAUUAUAUCUAAUAAUUCUAAUAAAUUUACAUUAGGCAAUCUACCCUCUAACCGAACAUUUAACCUACAUUUCUAGUCUAAUUCUUAAACCCAUCAUAUCAACUAUUCCAACUGUAAAGAUUCUUUACCUUGGUAAGCUUGAAGGCAUGAAGAUCAACAAAAACCUAAUAUUUCCAAGAAAAAUAACUUGAAGAAAUUGGAAAAUAAAAUCUGAAAAUAUAAACAUAAAUUCAAAACUUUCAAAAGUUGGAAAUAUAUACCUUUCAGCCUUAAAAAUGAAGAUUUGAAGCCAAAAAUCCAAGUGUUGUUAAAAGUGAAGUAGAAAUAGAAAAUAAAGGAACGAAAGAGAGAUUUUUCUUUCUCUUUUCUAUGGUUUAGAAGUGCUGAAAAUUGGGGUUAGAAGUUGUAGGUUUGGUGCCCAAGAAGUUUGGAGAAGAAAGGAGUAAGAAAAGCAAAAAAAUGAAAAGAAAACAAGGAAAAUCACAUGAAAAUUUUGAUUUUCAUGGAGGUGGAAUGAAAAUGGCAUGGGAAGGAUGAGGAAGAAGAAGAAAAUAUCUGGUGGGAGAGGGUAAGGAUGG
This 683-nucleotide long non-coding RNA is filed under the name Theobroma cacao (cacao). RNAcentral describes it as "long non-coding RNA (TCAC_LNC003256)". Lineage: Eukaryota; Viridiplantae; Streptophyta; Magnoliopsida; Malvales; Malvaceae. The record is from RNAcentral.